RNAcentral lists this ribosomal RNA (355 nucleotides) under uncultured bacterium. RNAcentral describes it as "partial 16S ribosomal RNA". It matches the Rfam family "Bacterial small subunit ribosomal RNA", at positions 338 to 690 of the family's 1533-position model. The record is from RNAcentral.
CCUACGGGAGGCAGCAGUGAGGAAUAUUGGUCAAUGGACGAGAGUCUGAACCAGCCAAGUAGCGUGAAGGAUGACUGCCCUAUGGGUUGUAAACUUCUUUUAUAUGGGAAUAAACCAGGGUAUGCAUACCCUCUUGUAUGUACCAUAUGAAUAAGGAUCGGCUAACUCCGUGCCAGCAGCCGCGGUAAUACGGAGGAUCCGAUCGUUAUCCGGAUUUAUUGGGUUUAAGGGAAGCGUAGGUGGAUUGUUAAGUCAGUUGUGAAAGUUUGGGGCUCAACCGGAAAAUUGCAUUUGAAACUGGCAGUCUGGAGUACAUUAGAGGGGGGCGGAAUUCGUGGUGUAGCGGUGAAAUGCU